Molecule: ribosomal RNA, 254 nt
Filed under: uncultured bacterium
Lineage: Bacteria
Description: partial 16S ribosomal RNA
Rfam family: Bacterial small subunit ribosomal RNA
Source: RNAcentral
UACGGGGGGAGCAAGCGUUGUUCGGAUUUACUGGGCGUAAAGGGCGCGUAGGCGGUCAGCACAAGUCAGUUGUGAAAUCUCCGGGCUUAACUCGGAAAGGUCAACUGAUACUGUGCGACUAGAGUGCAGAAGGGGCAACUGGAAUUCUCGGUGUAGCGGUGAAAUGCGUAGAUAUCGAGAGGAACACCGGUGGCGAAGGCGGCUUCCUGGCCCGUACCUGACGCUGAGGCGCGAAAGCGUGGGGAGCAAACAGG